CCCCAAUGGGUUCUCCGGAUUUCUGGAGACUUGUAGGGGUUGUGGGAUUUUUGAUGUGUCGUCUCCGGACGGGCGGUGCAGGGUAGUCGAGUUAGACUUGGUGGAAUUCCGUCGAUAGGAGUUCCGUCGAGUCUGGUCGGCUGUGUGUUGGACGGUGCAGGGUAGGCUGCUUGGACAUGGUCGGUUCGAGGAUCGAUUCGAGGGCCGGCGCCUGUCGAUGAUGUGUGAUGUAUGCGGUCUAGGGUAGGCUGGUUUGUCUUGGUCCAAUUUGAUGUCGGCUCCCGUGCAGGCCAGAGUGAAGGGGGGUCCAGGGUAGGUACAGGGUAGGCAGCUUAUAUUUGGUCGGUCUGGAGGUCGAUUCUCUGGCUGGCGGAUCUGACACUGUCGAAACGAGAUGCGAGCGGUGUAGGGUAGGCUAGUUCCGUCCUCGCCAGGUUGCGAUUUGGACGAGAUAUGUGGUUUAGGGUAGGCUCUAGGGUAAGUAGAAUUCGAGUUUCGUCGCCGAUAGUUUUCUGUGUGUGUAUGGUAGGUGCAGGGUAGGCAAAUCUCUCUCUGGCCAGUACUUGUCUGGUGGUCGUGAGUCGAUUUUUUUGUUUUGCCAUACUAUUGAAUUUUGCGGAAAUUCAAAAGUGGCUCGGGAGUCCUGCCUGGCGUGCGUCCGACUCGAACAUCGUCGGUGUACAUAUGAGAGGGAGUAAUCCGGCCCGGCCGGGGCCCAUCGCGAGCUGCAGGGUAGGUAAAAGUAAAAAAGUUGUUAAGAGGCGCGGUGUCGGCGUGCUUGUAUUUGCGGGAGAGAAUUAUCUGGAGGUGCUGGGUAGCCGGGAAGACUUGGAUGGAUCUGGCCCGGGAAUGGGUCUGCGCCUGGAUUCUGGUGUGGUGUAGGGUAGGCGUAGAUAGAUGAGUGGUCUAGGGUAGGUACAGGGUAGCUAGAAGUCUGGUAUAUAGUAUUGGGGGGGUGUAGGGUAGGUCUGGGCACUGUUUUCCGCUUCGCCCUUCCCUUUACUCGAGGGGAGGACGAUCUUGGCUGGGACGGAGGUGUAGGGUAGGCUUAAUUUACGAUUACAUGAUCUGCGUCACUCUAGGGUAGCUGAAAAUCUUAUAUGUAUCUGGUCACAUUUGGUGAAGAGGUUGGGUUUGGAUGGUGAGAUGAACAAAAGUGCAAUGUAGAAUUGUAUAUGAUUUUGCAAAGUGGGUGUGAAAUUGGAAAGU
This 1209-nucleotide unclassified non-coding RNA is filed under the name Fusarium contaminatum. RNAcentral's name for it is "partial 28S-18S ribosomal RNA intergenic spacer". Lineage: Eukaryota; Fungi; Ascomycota; Sordariomycetes; Hypocreales; Nectriaceae. The record is from RNAcentral.